CCUACGGGAGGCUGCAGUCGAGGAUCUUCGUCAAUGGGCGCAAGCCUGAACGAGCGACGCCGCGUGCGCGAUGAAGGCCUUCGGGUUGUAAAGCGCGAAAGUGGGGAUAAAGCCGAAAGGUUGAUAGAUCCACAGUAAGGACGGGCUAAGUUCGUGCCAGCAGCCGCGGUAAGACGAACUGUCCUAACGUUGUUCGGAAUCACUGGGCUUAAAGGGCGCGUAGGCGGUCCGACAAGUCAGGGGUGAAAUCCUGCAGCUUAACUGCAGAAGUGCCUUUGAUACUGUCGGUCUGGAGGGAGAUAGGGGUGUGCGGAACUUCCAGUGGAGCGGUGAAAUGCGUUGAUAUUGGAAGGAACGCCGGAGGCGAAAGCGGCGCACUGGAUCUCUUCUGACGCUGAGGCGCGAAAGCUAGGGGAGCAAACGGGAUUAGAUACCCGUGU
Molecule: ribosomal RNA, 440 nt
Filed under: uncultured bacterium
Lineage: Bacteria
Description: bacterial SSU rRNA
Rfam family: Bacterial small subunit ribosomal RNA
Source: RNAcentral